CUUAUUAAGAGUGGUGGAGGGACUGGCCCUAUGAAACCCAGCAACCUGUCGUAAGUGACAAGUGGCAAGUGAUGAAUGACAAGUUUUAACUUGCCACUUGCAAUUUUUAACUUGUAACUGAUGAUGUUGGUGCUAAAUCCUGCAGAAUAUCUGAAAGAUAAGU
This 163-nucleotide non-coding RNA is filed under the name uncultured Clostridium sp. RNAcentral describes it as "SAM riboswitch (S box leader)". It matches the Rfam family "SAM riboswitch aptamer (S box leader)". From Rfam's summary of the family: The SAM riboswitch is found upstream of a number of genes which code for proteins involved in methionine or cysteine biosynthesis in Gram-positive bacteria. The SAM riboswitch acts at the level of transcription termination control. The record is from RNAcentral. Lineage: Bacteria; Bacillati; Bacillota; Clostridia; Eubacteriales; Clostridiaceae.